Molecule: non-coding RNA, 63 nt
Filed under: Mycolicibacterium tusciae JS617
Lineage: Bacteria; Bacillati; Actinomycetota; Actinomycetes; Mycobacteriales; Mycobacteriaceae
Description: L31-Actinobacteria ribosomal protein leader
Rfam family: L31-Actinobacteria ribosomal protein leader
Source: RNAcentral
UCGGUUCCGGUUCACGCCGACACCUCCUGGUCCCAAGUGGUCCUCGGAGGGGCGACCCGGGCC